GGCUUAUAAAUAUAACACACCUGUACCAUGUCAGAUAUAGAGUUGAAAUGUAUUCAAUUUUGAGUUUGCUUCCCAAUAUUACACUUUAUAUACAGGUACAUCACAUAAGACUGAAAUAUAGCAAAACUGUUAGACAUUAAAAACAUUAAAAAAAAACUUUAUUAAUUAUGAAAAGUAUUAAUAACAUUUCAACCAUGAAGGUCCUUUGACAGCAGGAAAGGGAUACUGUUACAUCAUAGGGAAUGUUGUGCUUCAAGAAAUAUGUGGAAUAUGUAGAUUAAAAGAGGAGUCAUAAAAUUCUUUCCACAUUUCUCUGUUUUGUUAGGAAAAGGUUUACAUCUGGUUCUUUACAACCUCAAGGCAUGACGAGCAGUAACAUGGGUCAUCCUCUGAUAACGCCAGGCUUACUACUUCUAAUGCUGAUACCCGCCAUCACAGCUGAUAGCUCCGAACUGUGGUAGAAGAAUAUCCCGCUCUGUCUCCACCUCGGCCUCCCAAAAGCCCCUUACCAUCGGACCAAUCACCUGGACCAAAGGGCCAGAGUGAACCAAACAGCACUGCAAUGGGACAGCAGAGAGCUUCUGUAUCUUAAUGAUUUUUAGAUAAUCUAUUAUUAGAUAACUUUACUAUUAUAUCAGUCUUGUGUCAUUAUAUCAAUGUAUGUUCUCUGUUAUCUCUUGGUCUGGUCUGUUGGCGAAGCAGAGUUAGGGUUACAGAUGUUAAAUCUUAAUUUGAUCACCUUGUUGUUGCAGAAAAUGCAAAUGUCUCAUGUAUUCAAAGUUUAAAAAGGCAUCUAAAGUUUGUAAUUUCCACUUGAACAUUUCAGACUUAAUUUGCUCUAACUAAAAAAAUAUCAACCCCUACAAAAGUGUCCAUUUAAAUAUAAGCCACACAAUAAUGAGUAUUUCCUGUUGCUGCGGGAUUAUUUUCCUGCUGUGAGAAACUGGUCAAAUUAAGAUACAACACCUGUAAACAGAGAAUCUGAUAUAAUUUAAUCUUGUUCCUGUCUUUUAUUUUCUUUAUUAUUUUCUACUUAUUGUUUCUGUAAUGUGCUCUGUGUGUAGAGGAGUCAGGCGCAGGAAAGCAGAUGUGAGUAAAUAAGCGUAAUUUACUCAAAAUAGACAAAUAUAAUACAAUAAAGCGAGCCCACAUAACGGACCGUCUUACAUACAAACAAUUACUCACAAACAAACAUGGGGGGAACAGAGGGUUAAACAAUGAACAAGUAAUUAGGGGAUUGAAACCAGGUGUGUAAAACCAAGACGAAACAAACGGAAAAUGAAAAGUGGAUCAGCGGUGGCUAGAAGGCCGGUGACGUCGACCGCCGAACGCCACUCGAACAAGGAGAGGGACCGACUUCGGCGGAAGUCGUGACAGUUUCACACUUAACUUGACUGAACAACAGGACCUAAAUAAUUUGAGGGUUUGCUUCCUUCUUCAUCAAGUAGACUUCCUGAUAUGACCAUAUUUGGUUUUAGGCUCGUUGCUAAGGUGUUGAGUAUGUUAUUUACUAAGGCUUAAUGUUAUUUGUAUUCCCUUAUGGAGACAUUUUUUUAAGCAUAUGCCAACUUCAUACUCAUGGAUUCCCAGGGACUCUACACAUGAAAUACCAAGCUCUCAAAUUGUUCAGGCAUGUAGAAGUGACUUAACACUAAAACAAAUAGCAAAACUUGCUGUAUCGUCUAUAAGCCAUAGAGAGAGGGAUCAUGCCUGUGGAACACUAUGGCUCCGUUUCAAAUGGCACCCUAUUCCCUACUUAUGGCACCCUAUUCCCUACUUAUGGCACCCUAUUCCCUAUUUAGUGGACUAUUUUUGACCAUCUUAGUAAACAAAAGUAGUGCACUAUAUAGGGAAUAAGGUGCCAUUUGAGUCUGUGUUUAGAUGAGUGGGAACAGUUCACCUUUCCCUCAGCGUGAACAGUUGAUAUGAUGUCAUCAUGGUGGCAACUGGCUAUUGUUGGUCAUCUAGAGCAAAGAGAAAAGGGUUUGGAAUAAGACAAAGGGAUCAGGUCAGAUCUUUUCUUGUUAUUAAUCCGCUGAUUCAGCGUGACUAAAUGGAGAUGUAUUACGUGAGCUCGACACAGUUGAAACAGGCAUAUCUAUAGUACAAACAGAAGACAAAAAACUUAAAGAUAAAGGGAACAAUGUCAAGAACACUUAGAGGUAGCCUAUCUGUCAGCACGGCACAGUUGAAACAGGCAUAUCUAUAUCACAAACAGAAGACAAAAAAAAACAGAUUGAUAAAAAUGGGACAAUGGUUAUCAAGCUAGGGUGUAUCAGAAAGCAUGGCCAGGUCGAAAGAAGCAUAUAUACACUGCUCAAAAAAAUAAAGGGAACACUUAAACAACACAAUGUAACUCCAAGUCAAUCACACUUCUGUGAAAUCAAACUGUCCACUUAGGAAGCAACACUGAUUGACAAUAAAUUUCACAUGCUGUUGUGCAAAUGGAAUAGACAACAGGUGGAAAUUAUAGGCAAUUAGCAAGACAUACCCAAUAAAGGAGUGGUUCUGCAGGUGGGGACCACAGACCACUUCUCAGUUCCUAUGCUUCCUGGCUGAUGUUUUGGUCACUUUUGAAUGCUGGCGGUGCUUUCACUCUAGUGGUAGCAUGCGACGGAGUCUACAACCCACACAAGUGGCUCAGGUAGUGCAGCUCAUCCAGGAUGGCACAUCAAUGCGAGCUGUGGCAAGAAGGUUUGCUGUGUCUGUCAGCGUAGUGUCCAGAGCAUGGAGGCGCUACCAGGAGACAGGCCAGUACAUCAGGAGACGUGGAGGAGGCCGUAGGAGGGCAACA
Long non-coding RNA from Oncorhynchus nerka (sockeye salmon), 2794 nucleotides. RefSeq lists it as uncharacterized. The record is from RefSeq and is a predicted model, not a curated record. Lineage: Eukaryota; Metazoa; Chordata; Actinopteri; Salmoniformes; Salmonidae. The transcript is spliced from 3 exons.